Molecule: long non-coding RNA, 334 nt
Filed under: Vigna radiata
Lineage: Eukaryota; Viridiplantae; Streptophyta; Magnoliopsida; Fabales; Fabaceae
Description: long non-coding RNA (VRAD_LNC005767)
Source: RNAcentral
CAAUAACCUAUGGAACCCUAGAAAUGAGGGAAAACGCAAAAUGCACCGAUUAAUCGGGAGAAAAUGGAAGGAAAUGGUGAAAGAGUGAAGAAACCCUAAGAUUGAAUGAAGUUGAUCAGUGGAAAAGAUGAACUGAUGAGACAGAAUGUAGAUCUGAGACUCAAAUGGUGUUUCGGUGAUGCAAAGAUGAGGAAAUGGAAUCUGUGAUGAAAUGAUGGAGAUGAGCUCUUCGAGAGAGAAACUUACUCUGGACGAAGAAGAUGCAAGAGUGAUAUGACGAAAUGAAACGCUGAUGCUUGGAGAGAAUACGCGAGUCAGCGUAUUGAAGACGUGG